GACAGAGGGUGCAAACGUUGUUCGGAAUUACUGGGCGUCAAGCGCGUGUAGGCGGCUUGGCAAGUCGGGUGUGAAAGCCCUGGGCUCAACCUAGGAAGUGCACUCGAAACUGCCUCGCUGGAGUGCCGGAGAGGAAAGCGGAAUUCUCGGUGUAGAGGUGAAAUUCGUAGAUAUCGAGAGGAACACCGGUGGCGAAGGCGGCUUUCUGGACGGUUACUGACGCUGAGACGCGAAAGCGUGGGGAGCAAACAGG
This 253-nucleotide ribosomal RNA is filed under the name uncultured bacterium. Its description in RNAcentral is "partial 16S ribosomal RNA". It matches the Rfam family "Bacterial small subunit ribosomal RNA", at positions 524 to 776 of the family's 1533-position model. The record is from RNAcentral.